This 511-nucleotide ribosomal RNA is filed under the name uncultured bacterium. Its description in RNAcentral is "bacterial SSU rRNA". It matches the Rfam family "Bacterial small subunit ribosomal RNA", at positions 36 to 518 of the family's 1533-position model. The record is from RNAcentral.
CUGGCGGCGUGCCUAAUACAUGCAAGUCGAACGGUCUUUCUAUGGAAGCUUGCUUCCACUGAGAAGAUAGUGGCGAACGGGUGAGUAACACGUGGGUAACCUGCCCAUAAGAGGGGGGAGUAACAUCCGGAAACGGGUGCUAAUACCGCAUAGUCUUCUUGAUCGCAUGAUUGAGAAAGGAAAGACGGCCUUUGUGCUGUCGCUUAUGGAUGGACCCGCGGCGUAUUAGUUAGUUGGUGAGGUAACGGCUCACCAAGACGAUGAUACGUAGCCGACCUGAGAGGGUGAUCGGCCACAUUGGGACUGAGACACGGCCCAAACUCCUACGGGAGGCAGCAGUAGGGAAUCUUCCGCAAUGGACGAAAGUCUGACGGAGCAACGCCGCGUGAGUGAAGAAAGGUUUUCGGAUCGUAAAACUCUGUUGUCAGAGAAGAACAAGUUGGAGAGUAACUGCUCCAGCCUUGACGGUAUCUGACCAGAAAGCCACGGCUAACUACGUGCCAGCAGCCGC